Odontomachus brunneus is the source of this 1212-nucleotide RNA transcript. It is a transcript of the gene named coiled-coil domain-containing protein 25, with no coding region annotated. The transcript has 6 exons. NCBI's taxonomy places the organism in Eukaryota, Metazoa, Arthropoda, Insecta, Hymenoptera, Formicidae. The record is from RefSeq and is a predicted model, not a curated record.
CGUCUGCGAUUGGUGAAAUGUUCGAUACGUGCAAUCCGCGAUACGCACGAUACGCUCCAUGGGACUCCACCCUUAAGCUGGCAGCCGAAGAGAGAGAAAGAGAGAGAGACUAGAGGUUCUCUAGUAGGGGUACCAUAUAACGACAUAACCAAAAUAUUUUUUUGAUAGCUAUUCUUCCAGCACGUGUUGUAAUUUGAAUUAUCAUCAAUAAUGGUUUACUAUUUUACAAGUGAAGUGGUACAGCCAUCGGUCACGUUGUUCAUGGGAAUUGACAAGUACGAGAACGAAGACCUUAUCAGGUGGGGUUGGCCAGAGGACGUAUGGUUUCAUGUUGACAAAUAUUCGUCAGCUCAUGUGUAUCUUCGAUUGCGACACGGUCAGACAAUAGAUGACAUUCCUAGCACAGUGCUAGAGGAUGCUGCACAGCUGGUGAAGGCAAAUAGCAUUGAUGGGAACAAAAUGAACGACAUUGAUGUAGUAUACACAAUGUGGUCGAAUUUGAAGAAAACACAAGGUAUGGGAGUUGGCCAAGUCGGUUUUCACAAAGACAAGGAUGUUCGUAAAAUUCAUGUUGCCAAGAGAAUCAAUGUUAUCGUGAAUCGUCUCAUUAAAACAAAACGCACAGAACAAGUGGACUUCAGAGCUGAAAGAGAACAGAGAGAUAGACUUGAACGAGAAGAUAAAAAGAAACUUCUGAGGGAACAGAAAGAAAAAGAAAAAGUCGAGGAAAAGCGACGUCAGGAAGAAGCUGAAAUGAAGUAAAGUUACAAUUCUUUAUUUAAUACGUCUAAUAUGACUUCAAAUACAGAAACCAGUGGAUAUGAUUCCGACGAUUUCAUGUGAUUGAAACCAAUGCUCGCAUUUGUAACAUGUGCCUAAUUUAGAGAGUGCCCACUCUAUAAGGUACUCACGGCUGUCCUUGUCGGAAAUACGCAAUCGUACAUAUCGAUUCCUAGCGCGCAGCACACAACCAAAUCAACGGCGAAUCCGACGCCCAUGAGAUAACGCGGUUUAUUUUUGGGAAGUAUGUCCGUCGACAGAUGCACCAUUCUCCAAAAGUCGUCUUUGCUCUCGCCACCACUGCAAAUCGUUAAGAACGAUUGUCACUGUGUAAUGCGAAUUACAUAUGCUACAUGUAAGGAUGUUUAUGUUCUAUAUAAAUUUUUUUCUGUUCCAACUUGCGUGUUAUUAAAAUUGCUGAAUAAUCUGAAA